Molecule: long non-coding RNA, 649 nt
Filed under: Equus caballus (horse)
Lineage: Eukaryota; Metazoa; Chordata; Mammalia; Perissodactyla; Equidae
Description: lncRNA (ENSECAG00000053927.1)
Source: RNAcentral
AGGGGAGCCCCUGGGGGAGGGGGCAUGGUCCUGAACCUCAGGCUGCUGUGGAUGGGACCCCGCACCCAGGUGGAGAGGGCACGGCCUGGGCAGAGACCAGCCGUUCGACCACCUCAGUGGCAACAUCUUUGCGGCCUAAGUGGCCAUGUGCUUUCGUGGGAGGCGCUGCGAGUGACUGGGAGCCAAGCCUGGCGCCGGAGGGGGAGCAAUCCCGCGGGGCCCAGCUGCCUGCGGCGGCCCCGUUCAUCAUCGAGCACGUGCAGGGACUCCAGCGUCCUCUCUGGCCCUCCAGACGACCCUGCAGAGGUAGCUGGGACCCCUUCUGGCAGAAGAGGUGGCUGCAGCCCGAGGAUAGUGACAGGCCCCCGGUCACCUGGCUCCAGACCCAGGCUCUUCCCACCGCGGCCUCCUGCAGGCCCUUCCCUCAUCGGCUGCAGCCUGGGGCAGAGAGCGGGGUCUGAGCCUCACAGGCGCAUCCCUGGGCCCGAGCGGAGGGCCGGGCACACAGCAGCCCUCGACGAAGACUGGCUGAAUGGACAAGUGAGUGGAUGAACGGAUGAGUGGAUGAGAAAUACGUAAGCUCUGGUCUGCUUAGGAAAAGAGAAUGACAGUCCCUACAGGAGCUUCCACUCUGUGGCUUAAACACAAG